RNAcentral lists this unclassified non-coding RNA (3205 nucleotides) under Hevea brasiliensis (rubber tree). The record is from RNAcentral. Lineage: Eukaryota; Viridiplantae; Streptophyta; Magnoliopsida; Malpighiales; Euphorbiaceae.
ACCUGUUCAUUAAACAAGCCAAACCAAAUUGAAUAUAAUAUUAUUCAAAUUUGAAUCAAAAAGAGGAGAGAAAAUCAUAAUAUCCGUAUUAUGUUCCAUUAAUAAAAGUUUCAGCAAGUAUUCUUAUAUAUGAUAUUUCAAAAAAAAAAAUUCCACAAGAUUAGAUAAGAUAAAAUUCACAACAUCUUUUGCUGCAAACUGAUUGAACCAACCCAAUUAUUUCAACAAACGUAUAGUUCUCCAAGCAUUUGAUCAUUCACUCAACCCAAGUCAUCCACCUGAACGUGGAUCCAUCUUACCAUAGGAAACAAUAAUCAGGCUAAAAUCUCCAGAAAAAUUGCGAAGAUUGCCCUUGCUCAAGAGUAUAGCAACCAUAUCUCAAUUGAUGACACACUGGCAUUUUUCUGUACAUAUUUUGAAAUAUUUUCUAAGCAUAAAGAUUACUUGCCAAUAUAAGAAUCUAUUACAAAUCAUAGUAUGCAACUAUUACAAACUACGUAAGGGUGUAAAAAGGGUAUGACCAGUUACAAGAGAACAUAAAGCAAAGGCUAUAAAUGCCAGGUAGGACAAUACCACAGAUGAUCUUGCCAUUGCCGGGAACUUGUCCUUACCCCAAUUGGACUCCCAGUCCUCAACACGGAAAGUAGCUGAUGAUGAUGAUGAUAAGAGAAGAUAUGUCAACAACUGCAAUAUUAAACAAAGAGCUCAAUUUUACUCAAGCAAUCAACAUAAUAAGCCGUGGAAUCAAGUAAUGACAGUGUAGAACUUAUAAAGUGGCCCUUUGUCCUUCUCUUCAUUUGAGAGUUUCAAGGGUGAGCUCAAGGCUUCACCUCUGCAGUUGAGCAGGAGCUUAACUAUAAGUUGCCAUUAAAAGUAGCUUACAAAAUGGUGAAAAUUACAAAUCAGGGAGAAGAAAAUUUAAAGCACCUGAUUUAUUGCAUUUGCAUAUACAUCUUAACUGCUACAAGCCUACAAAGUCAAACUAACCUGCCCUUAUUUAUUAUUUAUUUAAUAAAUGGGGGAUGGGAAUGGCUUCAGCAUUACUGCAAAAAUCAUUGAUGGGCUUCAGGACUGGGCCAUCUUGGCCUACUCAUUUCUCCAUCAAACUCUAUUUUUCACUUUCAGCACGCGGUCUUAUCUGACGACCAAAGUCUCAAGAAGCACACAUGCUUCAAAAAAGAGAAAACAGAGCCUUCACCAUUUGCAAACCCUUCACCAUACGCUCACGGAAAUCUUUCUCCUAUAUGCCACAAUUCACCAGGUUCUCUCUUUACUUCUUUGAUACCUCAUUAUCCCUCUUAAAUACUUUCAGAACUUUUAUCCCGUCAGAAACCAUGUUUUUUCAGAGUCAAGGGUCCCAGAAUUCCAUUCUAUGGGAUACAAUAACUUUGCCUCUUUUAAGCAAUCAGAAACAUACUUUAAAUGUUCUAUUCAAAGUACGUUCCUUUUCUGUAUCUUUUGCUUUGUAUUUUGAAGCAUCAAAAAGUGGCAUAUUGCUAAACCUUGAUCCUAUAAAGUUAAGGGCCUGAAGUUGCAUCCUAAGCCACUUUAAAUACACCUUUCUUAAUCCACGUUUGUAGUGAAAAAGUGAAAGGUGUCUUUAUUCCUCACUUUAGUUGCAGCAAAUAUUGCUUGGACAUUAAGCAUUUCGACAAUGCCAACUAGUGAAAGUAAUCCCCUUCGCCAGUCAAUUGAGUAUCUCCUCAACACCAAUACAAAUACAAGCCAUAGAAUCUGAAAGUAAAAGGCAGCAUCAUACAGGGGAAAAGUUAGAUAUUGCUAAAAAGUAGUAGUCCAAGAAUCACCAUGAACAAUGGGACAUGUGGGCCCAACACUUCAAUCCUAAGCAACUCAGUACGGGACAAUGACCCACAAAGACUCAUAUUAUUAGUUAAUUGAGAGUUUUUAGCAAACAUGACAUGAGCAAUUGGAGAUAAAUCCACCGUCCAUGGCCCAUAGUGCACUCACCUUUACAGGAUUAUAGUGGUCCCUAAUUUCUAUAAUUACUACAAUUGAAACCACUGCCUGCCCACAAAAUUAGAGCGACAUGAACAAGGCGCCUUAGGUUAGGUAACAGCAUUUAAUAAAAUAAUGACCCAAAGAAAGGGACUUGCCUGAUCUAGAGAGAAAUCCAGGUAGUAACGGAGCUGAUUCUGGGAAACAAGCUUCCCGGUAGCCAAAGAGUAGGCAAGAUCAUAUGCUUGCAGGCCUGAGUACACAAAACCCAUCACGUUCACUGACAUACAGUACCUGAACUCCUUGUAGCGAUAGAAAGAGUCAAGAGCCCAACCCUCAUUCUUAUCAGCAGCCAUGAUCGAGAACGAAGCCAAACAAAAAACCAAACCAAAAAACCUAAAACCCAGCAAAGUCUUUCUCUUCACAAUUUCCCUCUUCCUCCCUGAAAUUGACAAAUUCGCCCUUCUCCUGCUACUGCCACCGCCACCAGUAAUACCAUCUUCAGCUGAUUUAACAACCUCAUCAUCUUGGGCGUCAGACCCGACCUUGGAAACAUGCACUGCAGCUGCUGCCGCUGCCGCCGGGGGAGGAGGAGACGGAGGCUUUGCGGAUUUGACAUCUGGCGAUGAUGAGAAUACAUAACUGUGAGAGAUUUGAUCUUCCGGGGGAGAUUUGUACUUGGAUUGUUUGAUUUGUGGAGGAGAUAAUGCAUAGCAAUGAGACAUAGAGGAAUGAUCUAAGGAACAAGUGGAAUCGGGUGGAGAAUCAAAGCGUGAGGAAGAGAGUGUAGGAGGGGGUUUAGGAGGUGGUGAAGACAAAGAGUAGUGCAUGGUGAGUGGUGGUGGAUUUGAGAUGGAGUGAUUACGUUGUUCAUCUACUUCUUGGAGCUGCGGCUCUUCUUCUUCUUCUCCUGGUAGUCGUUGAUUAUGCUCAUUUUCUUGGACGUGGGGGUGCUGUUGCUGGGCAUCUUCCUGGGUUUUCAUGGUUUCUUGGAUUUAGAGAUACAGUUCUGAAAUUAGCAAUCAAAGUUUAGUAUUGAAGUGAAUAUGGAGAUUGCUUCUGGUAUUGCCAAUGUUGAAACCUGACAGUGCCCUGUGUAGACUUGACGCAGAAGGAAAGUAGGCGCUAGACGAGUCAAAGAACCUAUGGUAACUAGUAAGAGAGUGGCAACCGGUUUGGUCGGGCGGGUAUGAAUUCGGAUAAUUUGGAUCCGAUUUAUUUCGAAUUGUAUGUUAUUUUACAUUUUUUU